This is a non-coding RNA of Callorhinus ursinus (northern fur seal), 84 nucleotides long. Lineage: Eukaryota; Metazoa; Chordata; Mammalia; Carnivora; Otariidae. The record is from RefSeq and is a predicted model, not a curated record.
GACAGUGAAAGAUUUCAGCAGAGCUAGGAUGUAUGCAUGCAACCAUUCAUUCCCUGUAUAUUCACUGAUCUUCUAUUACGUGCC